CGCGGGGUGGAGCAGCCUGGUAGCUCGUCGGGCUCAUAACCCGAAGGUCGCAGGUUCAAAUCCUGCCCCCGCUACCA
RNAcentral lists this transfer RNA (77 nucleotides) under Acidobacteriota bacterium. RNAcentral describes it as "Acidobacteria bacterium (permafrost metagenome) tRNA-Met". It matches the Rfam family "tRNA". Rfam says of the family: Transfer RNA (tRNA) molecules are approximately 80 nucleotides in length. Their secondary structure includes four short double-helical elements and three loops (D, anti-codon, and T loops). Further hydrogen bonds mediate the characteristic L-shaped molecular structure. tRNAs have two regions of fundamental functional importance: the anti-codon, which is responsible for specific mRNA codon recognition, and the 3' end, to which the tRNAs corresponding amino acid is attached (by aminoacyl-tRNA synthetases). tRNAs cope with the degeneracy of the genetic code in two manners: having more than one tRNA (with a specific anti-codon) for a particular amino acid; and 'wobble' base-pairing, i.e. permitting non-standard base-pairing at the 3rd anti-codon position. RNAcentral also lists the same sequence under 1 other name. Lineage: Bacteria; Pseudomonadati; Acidobacteriota. The record is from RNAcentral.